UACGAAGGGGGCUAGCGUUGCUCGGAAUUACUGGGCGUAAAGGGCGCGUAGGCGGCUAUUUAAGUCGGGGGUGAAAGCCCGGGGCUCAACCUCGGAAUUGCCUUCGAUACUGGAUAUCUUGAGUUCGGGAGAGGUGAGUGGAAUGCCGAGUGUAGAGGUGAAAUUCGUAGAUAUUCGGCGGAACACCAGUGGCGAAGGCGACUCACUGGCCCGAUACUGACGCUGAGGCGCGAAAGCGUGGGGAGCAAACGGG
RNAcentral lists this ribosomal RNA (253 nucleotides) under uncultured bacterium. Its description in RNAcentral is "partial 16S ribosomal RNA". It matches the Rfam family "Bacterial small subunit ribosomal RNA", at positions 524 to 776 of the family's 1533-position model. The record is from RNAcentral.